RNAcentral lists this long non-coding RNA (1100 nucleotides) under Phascolarctos cinereus (koala). RNAcentral describes it as "lncRNA (ENSPCIG00000022159.2)". Lineage: Eukaryota; Metazoa; Chordata; Mammalia; Diprotodontia; Phascolarctidae. The record is from RNAcentral.
AUGCUAAGCAAAGUCACACUGUCUGUAGCAUUGUUUGUAGCUGACUUUUGGGAGAAAGAACAAGAGUCUAGUGAUUGUCUUUGUUGUAUUCAAUUCAGUUCAGUUGAUUGUGUUCUGGGCUCUGUUUUGAACACAGAAUCUUCCCCUGAAAUCAACAAGCUUCUUGGAGAUGCCUGGGCUAGAACAGAAGAAGAACAAGAGUGGAGGAGGGUCAGAGGGAGAAGAAGAUUUUUCUUAAAAGUAUGGUUUGGAGAUUAAAGGAAAGUCUUACUAAUGUCCAACAGCUUUUAAGAGAUACUUUGAGAAGUCACAUAGCAAAAGUGGGAGAUAACUGAAGAAUAGUCUAUGUGUUCCAUUGGCAUGGAGACUUUGUCAAGAGACUUGGAAGGAUGUCAGCAAUUUGGGUGAACUGCCUAUGGAGAAUCUAUAGAAGGGCAUGGAUAAGAGUCACACAGUAUGAGAACACGUGGAUGGACUUCAGUCUGUACUCUUGGAGGGAGUAUAUUGUCUACAAGGCAGCUAAAGUGGAUAGAGCACCAGGCCUAGAGUCAGGAAGACUCAUUGGGGCAGCCAGGUGGCGCAGUGAAUAGAGCACCAGUCCUGAAGUGAGGAGGACCUGAGUUCAAAUGCAGCCUCAGACACCUAACACUUACUAGCUGUGUGACCCUGGGCAGGUCACUUAACCCUGUUUACCUCAGUUUCCUCAUCUGUAAAAUGAGCUGAAGAAGGAAAUGGAAAACCAUUCUAGUGUCUUUGCAAAAAAAAAAAUCCCAAAUAAGGUCACAAAGAAUCGUAGAUGACUGAAAAAAUGACUGAACAACAUUGUCCAUGAGAUCACAGAUCAGGGACAGUGUCAUAUAGUAAAGAGUACUCUAUUUGAAAUCAGCAUUCAUGGAGUUCAAAGUCUGGCUUUCCUUCCCUUCUCCCCCUGCUUUUACCUGGAUGACCGUGGAUAAGUCAUGAACACUCUGGAACUUCAGUUUCUUCAUCUAUAAAAAAAAAAGAGGGAGUUGGACUAGAUGAUUUCUAAGGAUCUUUCCAAUUUUAAGUAAAUACAUUUAUUUAUUUAAAUAAACCACCAAGCCUAUCUAUAUAUGACA